GACGAACUUUGGCGGCGUGCUUAACACAUGCAAGUCGAACGGAAAGGCCCUGCUUUUGUGGGGUGCUCGAGUGGCGAACGGGUGAGUAACACGUGAGUAACCUGCCCUUGACUUUGGGAUAACUUCAGGAAACUGGGGCUAAUACCGGAUAGGAGCUCCUGCUGCAUGGUGGGGGUUGGAAAGUUUCGGCGGUUGGGGAUGGACUCGCGGCUUAUCAGCUUGUUGGUGGGGUAGUGGCUUACCAAGGCUUUGACGGGUAGCCGGCCUGAGAGGGUGACCGGCCACAUUGGGACUGAGAUACGGCCCAGACUCCUACGGGAGGCAGCAGUGGGGAAUAUUGCACAAUGGGCGGAAGCCUGAUGCAGCAACGCCGCGUGCGGGAUGACGGCCUUCGGGUUGUAAACCGCUUUCGCCUGUGACGAAGCGUGAGUGACGGUAAUGGGUAAAGAAGCACCGGCUAACUACGUGCCAGCAGCCGCGGUGAUACGUAGGGUGCGAGCGUUGUCCGGAUUUAUUGGGCGUAAAGGGCUCGUAGGUGGUUGAUCGCGUCGGAAGUGUAAUCUUGGGGCUUAACCCUGAGCGUGCUUUCGAUACGGGUUGACUUGAGGAAGGUAGGGGAGAAUGGAAUUCCUGGUGGAGCGGUGGAAUGCGCAGAUAUCAGGAGGAACACCAGUGGCGAAGGCGGUUCUCUGGGCCCUUCCUGACGCUGAGGAGCGAAAGCGUGGGGAGCGAACAGGCUUAGAUACCCUGGUAGUCCACGCUGUAAACGGUGGGUACUAGGUGUGGGGUCCAUUCCACGGGUUCCGUGCCGUAGCUAACGCUUUAAGUACCCCGCCAGGGGAGUACGGCCGCAAGGCUAAAACUCAAAGGAAUUGACGGGGCCCCGCACAAGCGGCGGAGCAUGCGGAUUAAUUCGAUGCAACGCGUAGAACCUUACCUGGGUUUGACAUGGAUCGGGAGUGCUCAGAGAUGGGUGUGCCUCUUUUGGGGUCGGUUCACAGGUGGUGCAUGGCUGUCGUCAGCUCGUGUCGUGAGAUGUUGGGUUAAGUCCCGCAACGAGCGCAACCCUUGUUCACUGUUGCCAGCACGUUAUGGUGGGGACUCAGUGGAGACCGCCGGGGUCAACUCGGAGGAAGGUGGGGAUGACGUCAAGUCAUCAUGCCCCUUAUGUCCAGGGCUUCACGCAUGCUACAAUGGCUGGUACAGAGAGUGGCGAGCCUGUGAGGGUGAGCGAAUCUCGGAAAGCCGGUCUCAGUUCGGAUUGGGGUCUGCAACUCGACCUCAUGAAGUCGGAGUCGCUAGUAAUCGCAGAUCAGCAACGCUGCGGUGAAUACGUUCCCGGGGCU
RNAcentral lists this ribosomal RNA (1346 nucleotides) under uncultured bacterium. RNAcentral describes it as "partial 16S ribosomal RNA". It matches the Rfam family "Bacterial small subunit ribosomal RNA", at positions 28 to 1381 of the family's 1533-position model. The record is from RNAcentral.